Molecule: long non-coding RNA, 1353 nt
Filed under: Mus musculus (house mouse)
Lineage: Eukaryota; Metazoa; Chordata; Mammalia; Rodentia; Muridae
Description: long non-coding RNA chr18:80629446-80630799
Source: RNAcentral
AACAGGUUUUUCCGAGCAUGUGUUUUUCAGGUUGCCAUGCUCGCCCUUCAACGUCUAGAUUCUAGAAGGGCUGACCUGAUAGAUUUGCCAGCACUAUUGAUGCUUUGGGGACUACUGACAUCCUGAGGUCCCCACCCCUCCCUUGUUUCGGAACUUCCACUUUCUUUCAUCGCUUGCCAGCUACCAGAGUACCUCAGGGAACCAGAAGGAAUUCUCUGGUGAAGAAAGCAGUACAUAGCAGGCCCCUCCAUAGCUUCCCCAGGCCAGCUCACGCCAGAGAUCUAUCUGCUUGCAUGUCUCAGCGUAGGGGGACAUUCCAUGGUGGAGACAAGCCUUAGGGAGGCAGUAUUCUGGAGUCCCCGGAUCUGCCACACACGACUGUCAAAUGACAUCUCUUGAAGCUUCAGUUGCCUUUUGUGCCCAGGGAGGUGAAUAAUGGCAUCUUUUUCUGCUCACGGGAAGGGGCCGGUGUGAGGAGUUGUCCCACCUGCUUCACAGUGCUCACCCAUUGCUGCCAUUGGGUUUCUUGUGUGUCAGCAUCAGGUGUUAAACUGGGCCGAAGGUAAUAUUUUCGGCAUUGAUGGGAGAGUCCUCACUAUGAUUCCAGACACCAGAGUUUUUCUCCACCUGGGUAAAUGUUCAUCUCUCCUGGAUCCUCUGGAUCCCAGAAGCAUCUAGAAGGUUCCUCAGACAAGUGCUGUUGCUCCAGGAGCAGGAAUGCCUAGCGCCGGGUGGGUAAGGGGCCCUGCCAGUCUCCAGGAACAAUUCCGACAGAGAUCCCAGAGGGCGUCAGCCACACUCCUGAUGGCCACCAGCCACUGAACUCCUGGAAUGCGAUGGAUAUACUUCUAAAUGCCACCCGGACUUGAUGGUUUUGUGCUCCACAGCCAACACAGUGGCACAUUGUUCACUGGCUCACAGAUCUGCAGAAUCAUCAGAAUGCGUGGGAAAGAUGCUGCGUGGAUCACAGCUCUUUGCUCUGUAAACUGGCAGAUGGGGAAACACCCCUAGGAAUUUUCUGGAAGGAUUUUAACCUAUCUGGAGGAGGACAGCGGCGUUUCUACACAGGAAGGACAACCAUGCAUGAACAUGUCGCUGCUGUUGUGUCUGCCGUGAGAAAAAGAAGUGCCACAAACGCACGGCCCACACGGCCACCUCAAGGAGGGCUCCUAGCAUCCUCCUGGCCUUGGAUUUCUUCAAGGUCUUUGGCACUAACUAGCAUAAUCUUUAGGCUCACAGAAUCUCUCUAGCUCUGGCCUUUAGCUUUUUCUGUUCUACCCUAUUGACUUACUUCAAAUGAAUAAUGUCACAACUUUUUCAUUUAAAGGAGGAGAACAAGCUUGGCAGAUGAUU